RNAcentral lists this transfer RNA (81 nucleotides) under Ornithorhynchus anatinus (platypus). It matches the Rfam family "tRNA". From Rfam's summary of the family: Transfer RNA (tRNA) molecules are approximately 80 nucleotides in length. Lineage: Eukaryota; Metazoa; Chordata; Mammalia; Monotremata; Ornithorhynchidae. The record is from Rfam by way of RNAcentral.
CCUGUGAUGGCUGAGGGGUUAAGGCGUUGGACUUGAAACACAGUGGGGUUUCCCACACUGGUUCUAAUCCUGUUCACAGCA